GGGAACUAGGAGUGGGGAUGCUAUCCUGUGUUUCUGCGCCGUAGCUAACGCAUUAAGUUACCCGCCUGGGGAGUACGGUCGCAAGGCUAAAACUCAAAGGAAUUGACGGGGGCCCGCACAAGCGGCGGAGCAUGCGGAUUAAUUCGAUGCAACGCGAAGAACCUUACCAAGGCUUGACAUACACUGCGAUGGUUCCAGAGAUGGGCCAGCCUUCGGGGUGGUGUACAGGUGGUGCAUGGUUGUCGUCAGCUCGUGUCGUGAGAUGUUGGGUUAAGUCCCGCAACGAGCGCAACCCUUGCCUCAUGUUGCCAGCGGUUCGGCCGGGGACUCGUGAGGGACUGCCGGGGUUAACUCGGAGGAGGGUGGGGAUGACGACAAAUCAUCAUGCCUCUUAUGUCUUGGGCUUCACGCAUGCUACAUUGGCCAGUACAGAGGGUUGCGAUACCGUGAGGUGGGGCUAAUCUCUUAAAGCUGGUCUCGGUUCGGAUUGGGGUCUGC
Molecule: ribosomal RNA, 498 nt
Filed under: Mobiluncus curtisii
Lineage: Bacteria; Bacillati; Actinomycetota; Actinomycetes; Actinomycetales; Actinomycetaceae
Description: bacterial SSU rRNA
Rfam family: Bacterial small subunit ribosomal RNA
Source: RNAcentral